Long non-coding RNA from Exaiptasia diaphana, 1306 nucleotides. RefSeq lists it as uncharacterized. The transcript is spliced from 2 exons. The record is from RefSeq and is a predicted model, not a curated record. Lineage: Eukaryota; Metazoa; Cnidaria; Anthozoa; Actiniaria; Aiptasiidae.
UUCAAGAGAAUGAUGAUGAAGAUGCCAAUGUUAGUUCUUCCUCUGAUGAGAUCACUGAAUUGCUUGGUGAUAAAGAGCACCUCUACCCCAAGAUUCUAUAUCUUGUCAUUGCUGAUUCAGCUUAUUCUGAAGAAAACCAGUAAUAAAGACGUCCAAUGUUCAAAUCCAGCUGGCUGGGUUGYGAGAGCAGUUGUCCUGUGUUUCACCAAGCAAAAAAUGACUAAUAUAUGGCAGACACGAAUAACAAGAACUUACUGCUGUAAUGGUCAAUUAGAGMAAAAAUGGUUAAAAUAUCACCUAGCUACUGGUAUUAUUUAUUGGUUAGUUAGCAAAAUUUAAUUCUGAAUGAAUAACAUUUUGAUUUUGAAAAGUUAUAUAAUAUUAUAAACAUGGAAAGCAACUUCUAACCAAUGUGCACAUUAGCUUGAAUAGCCUUUUUCCUUUAUGCUUACUUUUAAAAACACAUUCAAGAGUAUGUCAUACACCAUAUAUAAUCAUAUUAAUGCCUAAAUUCAUCUUAAAGUGUUUUCACUUCAUGUGGUCUUAUAUUAAUAAUUAUACUGAAGUCAGGAUGAUUMAAAGAUGUGAUGGUAAUACCAGUAGUCAAAAAAGGUUUUUCCACAACAAAUAAUUGUAAAUUUAUUCUUUUUUAACAAGUAUGAUAAUGCAUUUGUUUGCAAGGUUAGUACCUUCUAGUGUCAUUCUUUCAAUAAUCAUGAUUUUCUUUCAUAAUAAGUGGUGUUAGAUAUGGUUGUACAGGGUUAUAGGUCAGGCACAACAAUAUUGGGCAUUGCACUAACAGGGUKUUUGAUCUAUCCUAUAAAUCAACCCACUACAUCACUCUACAAAGCAAGGGCUGCCCAACUAUUGCUUGAGAGUUUUAUGUUUUUAUGUUUAUUGCAUAAGUCAUAAUCCUGUGCCUUGCAGGAUAAAAGCAAGUCUAUGUACAAAGGGCUGUCUAAGCAGCUUUGUAGUUUUUUGAUWGAACUGGUUGUUUUAGGGGAGAUGUGAUUGUAUGAUCAGAUCGACAUCACCUGUGAUUGCAAAAAGCCAAUGUUUACACUUAAUGCUGUAUGCCCUAUCCUUACAUAGCCAGAAGUGUUUGAUUUUAGUGCAGAUGUAAAAACGUUUUGAAAGCAAAAACUAAUAUAAUAUUUGAAAARUUAUUUACAUUGGAUUUUCUGUUAUGUUUGGAUAGGGCCUUGGUGUGUAUUUUUGACAAUGCGUGUGAAAAUUAUUUUUAUUCUAAUAUUAAAAAACUUUAUUGUACCUUGCAUACUGACUUAUUAAACACACUUGAAUACUA